GAUUUGUCUGUCAUUAUUCAAAGUUGUCAAAUGUAGCAGAAGGAGGUGAAUGGAGCAGAUUGAGAGGAGAAUAUGAAGAAACAGCAGGUGGCGCUAGUGCACUGUUUUAGUUUGUGAUCUGCUGUUAGAAGGAAGAAGAAGGAGAAAGCAGGUGUGUUUGUGCUUCACAUUCCUGUCCAGUUGGUGGCGCUGCUGCACGAGAUCUGUUGUUAACUGGACUUUGAUUUUCUCCAAGAUGAAGUCGUGUCAGGUGACAAACAUCAAUCGUGAAGAUCGCACAGGUGUUUAAACAGCGAUCACAAACCGAAAGUGUUUUAAAGACUUCUGGAUUCUGUUCCUGCAGCACAAGGUCGUCUGAACUACUGCAAGUCAUGAUGAGCGUCUGAUCGUCUUCAGAGACACAAAGAUCUCAGUGUUGAGCUGUUCAUCUGCUGUAUGUCAGAGAAGAGAGGAAAGAUGAGUCUCUCACAGAAACAGAGUGUAAGAUCAGGAUCACAUGUGUCUGUGAAGAGUGACCGGUCAAAGGAUGGUGGCAUACCGAACUUCAGUGAGAAAAAAAGAUCUAUCAAAAGGUAUUUAUUAUCUUUGACAUUAUAAUGUUGUGUUGGCUUAUUUCUCCACUAAGAUGCUUGUGAUAGAAAUGAAUGAAAUAAAACAAUAAACAACUGAUUUCCUCUUUAUUGAACUCAGUCUGGAGCUUCUUUCCAGUAACACAAUCACACAAGCAGCCACAAGGAGGUAUAAAUUAAGCAUGGAAAAUAGAUCAUGCAGCCAAACAUGAAUAUGUCUUUCUAUCUAUCCAUAGUCAUAGAUGGACAAAUGCAUGUCUAUACUGUGCUUCAUUACCAUCCUCAACAGUGAAGCUCUUUAAAUGAGACUGAAGGAGCUCCUGUAGUGAAGUGUUUUGUUCUUUGUG
Cyprinus carpio (common carp) is the source of this 916-nucleotide long non-coding RNA. RefSeq lists it as uncharacterized. The record is from RefSeq and is a predicted model, not a curated record. Lineage: Eukaryota; Metazoa; Chordata; Actinopteri; Cypriniformes; Cyprinidae. The transcript has 3 exons.